CAAGAGAGAAAACCCUAACGCCACUGUGGCUCCCUCAUUCUCUCUCAUAGUCACCCUUACCAUUUUAGGAAAAAUCAGACUGGUACCAUGCUUUUGCAGAAUUUGUACAACCAAUUCGAGUAGGCAUUAAUUGCUUCUCACCUAUUUCUACUAAAACUCAACCAAACUAGGUAUAAUCUUCUUUUUUUCCUUUUCUUUUCUACAUAAUAAGGUCAAAUGAGUUGAAAACUUCAAUGGUUUUUAUAUGUAUUCAUUUUUGAACUCUCGAUUUUCAUUGAUUGUUGUUGGUUUGAGAAAUCCCCCCCCCCCCCCCCCCCCCAAAAAAAAAUCACAAUCCCCCAUCGAAAAUUAGGGUUUUAUUCACACACACGUCUUGUUUACAACACAAAGACUUGAUUUCGUAGGGAUUUAGCAUUAAUUGCUGAAACCUUUACCUAAUCAAGUCAUUUUAGUCUAAAUUUUCUUUCUUGUUUGCGGCUGAGCAUUGGAGUGAAGGAAUUAUGGUUUUCCAAGUCCAUUCUCGAUCAAAAUGCUGCAUAGAGAAGAGACACAAGAAAAUUGCGUUAAGCUUGGUGGUUGAUUGAAGAGGAGAUUACAAGUCUUGAGAUACAGGUUGACGGCCCACUCAGUAGGAUACCAGCUCAGCAGACAGUGUUAUUGCACUCCACUUGUUUCGAAGUUGCCAUGUCAGUCAGAAUGAUUAUAUGUAUGCACAUGUAUGAGUAUGGCGGGUCCCUGUCUCGACUACGUUAUGUCAUGUAUUCUAGUAGAGGCUUGUAGACAAUUAUGUACAGUAAAAUAUUGUAUGGCAUUGUCAGCUUAUGUACUAUUGCAUAGUUGUAUAUGACGGCCCUGUCGGCACAUCCAGUAUGUCCAGCUUGUUGUGUAGCUAUGUCCUAUCAGACUUGUUUUAUUUCUGUCUAUCA
Long non-coding RNA from Lycium barbarum (goji berry), 926 nucleotides. RefSeq lists it as uncharacterized. The transcript is spliced from 3 exons. NCBI's taxonomy places the organism in Eukaryota, Viridiplantae, Streptophyta, Magnoliopsida, Solanales, Solanaceae. The record is from RefSeq and is a predicted model, not a curated record.